This 379-nucleotide unclassified non-coding RNA is filed under the name plant metagenome. RNAcentral describes it as "partial contains 5.8S ribosomal RNA, internal transcribed spacer 2, and large subunit ribosomal RNA". The stretch from base 1 to 106 matches the Rfam family "5.8S ribosomal RNA", at positions 49 to 154 of the family's 154-position model. The record is from RNAcentral.
GAAAAUGCGAUAAGUAAUGUGAAUUGCAGAAUUCAGUGAAUCAUCGAAUCUUUGAACGCACCUUGCGCUCCUUGGUAUUCCUUGGAGCAUGCCUGUUUGAGUAUCAUGAAAUCUUCAAAGUAAAUCUUUUGUUAACUCAAUUGGUUUCUACUUUGGUAUUGGAGGUCUUUGCAGCUUCACACCUGCUCCUCUUUGUUCAUUAGCUGGAUCUCAGUGUUAUGCUUGGUUCCACUCGGCGUGAUAAGUUAUCUAUCGCUGAGGACACUGUAAAAGGUGGCCAAGGUAAAUGCAGAUGAACCGCUUCUAAUAGUCCAUUGACUUGGACAAUACUUUUAUGAUCUGAUCUCAAAUCAGGUAGGACUACCCGCUGAACUUAAGC